RNAcentral lists this antisense RNA (75 nucleotides) under Streptomyces scabiei. It matches the Rfam family "ASpks TB sRNA". Lineage: Bacteria; Bacillati; Actinomycetota; Actinomycetes; Kitasatosporales; Streptomycetaceae. The record is from RNAcentral.
CUUGAGCGAGCCGAGCAGCAACGGCCGGUCCGCCGGGCGGCCUUGGCCGUAGGUGGCGAGCAGUGCCUGCGCCUC